GAUGAACGCUGGCGGCGUGCUUAACACAUGCAAGUCGAACGGAAAGGCUCCUGCUUGCAGGGGUACUCGAGUGGCGAACGGGUGAGUAACACGUGGGUGAUCUGCCCUGCACUUCGGGAUAAGCCUGGGAAACUGGGUCUAAUACCGGAUAGGACCACAUUUUGGAUGGUGUGGUGGAAAGUUUUUCGGUGUGGGAUGAGCUCGCGGCCUAUCAGCUUGUUGGUGGGGUAAUGGCCUACCAAGGCGUCGACGGGUAGCCGGCCUGAGAGGGUGUACGGCCUCAUUGGGACUGAGAUACGGCCCAGACUCCUACGGGAGGCAGCAGGGGGGAAUAUUGCACAAUGGGCGCAAGCCUGAUGCAGCGACGCCGCGUGGGGGAUGACGGCCUUCGGGUUGUAAACUCCUUUCGCUAGGGACGAAGCGUUUUUGUGACGGUACCUGGAGAAGAAGCACCGGCUAACUACGUG
Molecule: ribosomal RNA, 467 nt
Filed under: uncultured bacterium
Lineage: Bacteria
Description: partial 16S ribosomal RNA
Rfam family: Bacterial small subunit ribosomal RNA
Source: RNAcentral